This 534-nucleotide ribosomal RNA is filed under the name Praedatrypaea praedatrix. RNAcentral's name for it is "partial large subunit ribosomal RNA". It matches the Rfam family "Bacterial large subunit ribosomal RNA", at positions 1819 to 2625 of the family's 2925-position model. Lineage: Eukaryota; Metazoa; Arthropoda; Malacostraca; Decapoda; Callianassidae. The record is from RNAcentral.
GUCUGUUUGCUAUAAAAAACAGUCUGGCCUGCCCACUGAUUAUUUUAAAGGCCGCGGUAUCCUAACCGUGCGAAGGUAGCAUAAUAAUUAGUCUUUUAAUUGAAGACUGGAAUGAACGGCCGGACAAGAAGAAAACUGUCUCAAUUUUAUAAAUUGAAUUUAACUUUUAAGUGAAAAGACUUAAAUAAUCUAAAAGGACGAUAAGACCCUAUAAAACUUUAUAUAGAAAAGAAAAACUCGUAAACUAUAAGUAUAAAUGACUAAUUCUGUUAAUAUAUUUUGUUGGGGCGACCGAAGUAUAUAAGUAACUGCUUCACUUUAUACACAAUUAUAUUUGCCUAUUUGACCCUUUUUAAAGAUUUAAAGAAAAAGUUACUUUAGGGAUAACAGCGUUAUUUUUUUUGAGAGUCCUUAUCGACAAAAAAGUUUGCGACCUCGAUGUUGAAUUAAAGUUCCACUAUAGUGCAGCAAUUAUAGAAGUAGGUCUGUUCGACCUUUAAAACUUUACAUGAUUUGAGUUCAAACCGGUGUGAG